This is a long non-coding RNA of Magnolia sinica, 443 nucleotides long. RefSeq lists it as uncharacterized. The transcript has 2 exons. Lineage: Eukaryota; Viridiplantae; Streptophyta; Magnoliopsida; Magnoliales; Magnoliaceae. The record is from RefSeq and is a predicted model, not a curated record.
UGCAAAUGGCCCCGCAGACUGGACUGAAGCUUUGGAUGUUAUUUCCUUGGGUUCUCCUAAGCAAUCAAUUGAAGGCAUGAAAGUUGUUUGUCAUGAGCUGACAACUACUGAUCCUGAGAGUAGUGCGAUGGAUGAUACUGUCAAGGAUGCAGAUAGGCUAGUUGCAUGUCUUGCAAGCAAGGUAAAUAAAUAUCUUCUAUUCUCCUCAUUGGUAUCCAAAGUAAAAAAUAUUCUCAGAAAACGGUACGUUUUGUGUGAUGCAUACUGGUUUCAAUACUAGGAGACUUGGUUUCGAUACUAGAUAGUACUAUUUCUAUUUUCUUUUAAAGGUGGCCAAUAACUGCCGGAAUUUCAAAUGUUCAUAUGUAGUAGCUAAUUCAGCAAACAAUUAACCAAAUCAUGUUAUUUUAAAAACCCAUUCUCAAAUUCUGCUAAAAAUUUGA